GUGGGGAAUAUUGGACAAUGGGCGAAAGCCUGAUCCAGCCAUGCCGCGUGUGUGAAGAAGGUCUUCGGAUUGUAAAGCACUUUAAGUUGGGAGGAAGGGCAGUAAGUUAAUACCUUGCUGUUUUGACGUUACCGACAGAAUAAGCACCGGCUAACUUCGUGCCAGCAGCCGCGGUAAUACGAAGGGUGCAAGCGUUAAUCGGAAUUACUGGGCGUAAAGCGCGCGUAGGUGGUUCAGCAAGUUGAAGGUGAAAUCCCCGGGCUCAACCUGGGAACUGCCUCCAAAACUACUGAGCUAGAGUACGGUAGAGGGUAGUGGAAUUUCCUGUGUAGCGGUGAAAUGCGUAGAUAUAGGAAGGAACACCAGUGGCGAAGGCGACUACCUGGACUGAUACUGACACUGAGGUGCGAAAGCGUGGGGAGCAAACAGGAUUAGAUACCCCAGUAGUCC
Molecule: ribosomal RNA, 450 nt
Filed under: uncultured bacterium
Lineage: Bacteria
Description: bacterial SSU rRNA
Rfam family: Bacterial small subunit ribosomal RNA
Source: RNAcentral